Molecule: long non-coding RNA, 358 nt
Organism: Triticum aestivum (bread wheat)
Lineage: Eukaryota; Viridiplantae; Streptophyta; Magnoliopsida; Poales; Poaceae
Exons: 2
Source: RefSeq, a predicted model, not a curated record
CCUGUUGUAAUACCUUCAGCAUAGAAGCAGUAGUGGUCUGCUCCUCCAAAGAUCUAUAGCUUGUGGAUGCGGCGGAUGUGGCACAGGGAGCAGAUGAAUUGGGAAUAAGAGGACCCCCGGCGCGCGCACAAAUUGUUUCUACCUGACGGCUGAUAGUGAGGAUGCCUCUGACCUGUCCCGAGAAGGUUCGAGCCGAAGUACGACUUGUACAACGCAUCACCAAUUCGUCCGACAGUGUAAAAUGCGUUUGUGUUAGCUGAGUGAAAAUUAGAGAUCAGCCUGGUGGUACUUUAUUAUUUUAUUCUAUAGCUUGAUCUGCCAAAUGCUAUUAAGGAAAUGAAGUUUCUUCCUCGAUCAA